This is a long non-coding RNA of Drosophila subpulchrella, 423 nucleotides long. RefSeq lists it as uncharacterized. The record is from RefSeq and is a predicted model, not a curated record. NCBI's taxonomy places the organism in Eukaryota, Metazoa, Arthropoda, Insecta, Diptera, Drosophilidae. The transcript has 3 exons.
CGCGCCUUUUUUCGUCUUUUUCACUUGCGUUUACUUUGGUGAAGGAGUUAGAAGUUGAAGCAAAACUACCAGCAAUUAACAUUGUUAUAUUUAUUAAAUCAGUGCCUUAAAAGUGAGAAAGAAACGAUUCCCAGACAAGGCUGAUGGUAAAAAUGGAUGGCUAAGUCGAUCCAUUUUAAGCAUAUUAUCCGAGGAACUUGUUCUGUCCCACAACUUGGAGGGGGCCAAAACAAGAAGAAGCUCAAAGUCUACCCAAAUUUCGUCCGCGCCUUGUUAAAUUCAAUCGCUCUGGUGGAGCCCUCGGAGCCUCCCGAAAAGGCACUGCAAAAAGCAAUGAGGUGCGUGAAAAACCUAUGUUGGGCAAAAAAAAAGUCAACGCCGGCCCCAGAUGCUGAAGAACCGACGACUCCGAUAACACCGGGA